This is a long non-coding RNA of Cyprinus carpio carpio, 457 nucleotides long. The record is from Ensembl. NCBI's taxonomy places the organism in Eukaryota, Metazoa, Chordata, Actinopteri, Cypriniformes, Cyprinidae.
GCAAAAUUAUACACAUGUAUGGCUAUCAUUAACACUAUUUUGCCAACUGUCUGGCACACUUUCACAUGUGAAAACUGUUUUAGAUAAUUAGUUCACUUUGCAAUCAGCCUAAGCACUAUAAAUAAGCCACAGGUAAGCUGUCUGUGUGGAGUACAAUGGAAGGAGCAGUAAGAGUGAGAAGAGUGAGAAUCAGAGGAGGCAGAGGAGGCCGAGGGAGAGGACGUGGAGGUGAAGAAGCGAGAGGGUUAGAGGAAGUUAGAGGAAGAGGACAAGGAGGAGCAAGAAGAGGACGAAGAGGGGAAAGAGGAAGGGUAAGAAGAGUAAGAAAUAGAAUAACUGAUGACAUCAGAGCUACAAUAGUGGACCAUGUCAUCAACCAUGGGAUGACCCUGAGGAAAGCUGGCCAACGGGUUCAGCCUAAUUUGAGCCGCUACACUGUGGCAAGCAUCAUUAGGAC